AAUGCGGGGGGGGGGGGGGCCCUUACGCCUUGCGUCAACACCGUAAUUGCUUCGUCUGCCUCUUGGUUCAGGGAGUAGAUGGAGGGAGCCGCCUGGGUGAGGACUCAAUUGGGAGGCCUUUCUUUCUAACCCGAGCCUGGCCUCCGGGGAGCUGUGUGACCCAGGGUGUGAUCAUAAGUGCGCUCUGCCUCAGUUCCUUCGCUUGUCCCGUGAGGCUGAGAAGAGCCUCGUCAGAGUGUGGUCACACUGGCUCGUGGAACGGUCUCUAGGCUUCUUUGAGCACUUCCUGGGUCAGCACUUGUAUGAGCUCUGUGGCUCCUCAAGCGACCUAGGAGCUGGAUUUCCAUCAGUGCCCCAUUUCAGAGAGGAGGACCCCGAGACACAGGAAAGCUAAGUACCUUGCCCAAGGUCACACAGCUGUGAAUGGACAGUGACGAGUUUGACCCCCUGGGUGUGGAGUCAGACCACCUGCGUUUGCACCUGCUGCCGACAGACCUGCUCCUCACCUCUCUGAAUCCCAGUGUUCUCGUCUGUCACGGGGAGCAGGACUCGUUCCCAGCUUGCAGGUUGGCUGUGUGCACUCAGGAGAUAACCUUGUGACGGGCUUGACACAGCACUUUGUACACACUGGGUGCUCCAGAGAUGCCAGGACUAGAAAUGGCCUGGACAGCUGACUCGUCUGGGGUGGAGUCUGAGCGUACCCUGAAGCAUCCUUGUACAUUUGAAGCUGUUUCCUGGAUGAUUCUCUCUCACCAUGGCAUGUGAAGAAACUGAGGCUCAAAGUGACAUUAAGGGAAUUACAAAAAGAAGUGAGAGAACUUAAGCUUUAAGAGGUUGCGCAAUUCGCUCAAAUUUGUCCAGCUCAAAGUGCAAUCGUGAAGCCUGAAGAUAUUGGAUGCCUUGGAAGAGGAAUACAGCCUUGGAGGCACAGCCUGGGGAUGUCUUACUAUGACCUUUCACUCCUUCCUAAGCCAAGAAAAGAAAGUGGGUCCAACUGGCUGUUAGAAAAGCUUCCCCAAAGGUUUGGAUAAACUGAGUGGUUUCAGGCACCCUGUGACCCUGCAGGCAGGCUGCAAUGUGGCUGUCCCCGCCAUGGGGAGAGAGUCUUGUUUUCCUCCCCAGCAGAGCUGGGCUGGGGUUUCUGAUAGUGUUUGACUUAGCAAGUCUCCGCAUGAGCCGCUGAUCUGGUGUUGGAACAAAGCAGCAGGGAGGGAGGCCCCGCGUGGAUGAGUCAGGCGGAGACGAGGCCUCGUUUCUUGUUGAACGCUGUCCCCCUCCAGCUAUGUGCUUUUCCCCAACAGCCAAGCUUGGUCCGCACAAGUCUGGGCUGCCCUCUCCCCACCAAGGCAAACCCUGUCAAUAGCAGGAGAGAAAAAAAGGCCACGACUACACGUGAGAAGCUGUGCUUUCAGGGGAGGAUCAAGAGCCCUUCACCUCGCCCAACACUGUUUGCAUUUUGUAGAACAAACACUGGAGUUUAAGUUACAUCCUCGAAUUCAAUAUUUGGCAUGGGAUAAUAAUCGCUGGUGACUUCUCCACGUGGUGCCAGCUGGGCCGAGUACCAGGUGAGCAAGACAGGGCCGUUCCCUGUUUUCAAGGAGUUACAGCCUGUGGGGGAGACAGAACAGUACCCAAGCGCUUGGAGUCGAGGAUGGUCAUUGUUACGAGAUGGAGCAAUUUGGGAACAUUUAUAACCAGUGUCUUCCUGGCCACAUCGUAGUAUGACCUUUGGAAAUGCCACUUUCUCGAAUAAUAAAAUGAAGGGAAAAAUUUCCUCUCUUCUACCUACCAAAUGGGACAUUUGGAUAAUUUUCAAGAGAAAAAGAUCUGCUCCCAAAAGUGACACUUUGCUUGUUUAUUCAGCAACUACUCAUUGAGUAUCUCUUGGAUCCUGGGUGUGCUGUGUAUUGUGAAUAUAGCAAUGCUCAGGGAGAAAAACCCUGGGUAGUUAAUUAUGCAGAAACCCUUCUAUUACAAUUACGUAAAUGCGUCCAAGGAAACGCUCAGUUUAUAAGAAGAGUGUGUGCUGGGCAAGUGGCUGGGGAAGAAGUAUGACAUCCUGGGGCUGACGGAUAGUAAGAAGACCCUCUCUGGGACGCCGCUUAUUGCUGCUGGUGCACCAAAGGAGACGAGGGAGCAAUCUUUGAGCGAGAAGAGAGAAGCAAGCGCGGACAACAUGUGGCUGUUAAGAGCCCAGAGACCUUCUCGUCAGGACGCAGUGCUUCCUUCAGACCACGUGGUCAGAACACCGUUUCUUAAAGUGUGGUCCGUGUACCAUCUACCUCAGAGUCCCUGGGAUGCUUGUUAAAUCUGAAGGUUCCCAGACUCCGAUCCACUGAAUCCCAAUGCGGGUGCAUCAGGAGUCAGCAUUCUGAACUAGCUCCCUGGCGAUUUUUACACACUCGAUGAUUUGAGGACUUUUGCACUGAUUUAGAUGCUCGUGUAUGAGACCCUCAAGUGACCUCUGCGCCCUUUCGCUUUUGUCUCUGAAUCAAGUCUGGGAUUACUUCACAGGGAACAUAAAGGAAAGUCACCAGUCAGGCAUUUGGAAGCAGCGAGGAGCCAACUUCAUUCUAGGUGAAAUUGAAAUCUUCACAGUGUGGAAAAGUGGAAAGAGAACUGAACUGGAAACCGUAACUUUUGUUUGAGUUUGGCUCUGUCACUCACUAUGUAUGGCCAUGGAAAGUAAUUUCUCCUCUCUCGUUGUUUGCUUGUUCAUAAAAUGAUAGCAUUUUCCAAACUUCAGUCAACGGAGUACCACCUUCAAAAUUGCAUCACCUGUGCUGUUAGAAAUAUUUUUCUUUUAAUAAUUACUUGAGUUUAAUUUGAAAAGGAGCUUUAUAUCAUUACUAUAAAUGGAGAACCAAUCAUCACUUACUAUAAUUAGAAAGUCAUACCUGUAAAAUAUAUAACAAUUAAAAAAUUUAGGGGGCUGGCCCCAAGGUGCAGUGGUUAAGUUUGCACACUGUGCUUCAGCAGCCCGGGGUUCACAUGCUUGCAUCCUGGGUGCAGACCUACAUGCUGCUCAUCAAGCCAUGCUGUGGCAGGUCCCACAUACAAAAAAAUAGAGGAAGAUUGGCACAGAUGUUAGCUCAGGACCAAUCUUCCUCAGCAAAAAAUAAUAAAAAAAAAUUUUAAUUUAAAAAGUUUAUCCCUGAGGCUCUAAUUAUCAACUGUUAAUGUAUGAUACUGUUAUCAUAUUUUGGGAAACAGCAAAUUAGAUGCUAUUUAAGACCAUUUUCUUUUUUAUAGAUCUAAGUAUUUAUUGGAGUAUCAUGCAAAUGGUUAUUUCAUUAUUUCUGGGAGGAAAAAAAAGUCCAAAUUCAUGAAGCAAUUUCUGAAAAAUCAACCUUGGGUAUUGUUAGGCAAAAAUUCCAUAACAAAAGCUAUGAAAAAACAAUGACCUUUUUUUCUCAAAAAGAAGAAAGCAUUUAAUGCUACUCAAAUCUUUAAUUAAAUGCUUAUAUCAGAUAUACAGUAUUAAAACAAGAAAUAUUUUCCCUAAUUAUAUCUGCUACUUUCAUCUGUUUCUUUUUUCAAAUCAUUAAAACUAGAACAAAUUAGAAAAAAUGUUACAGUGUUAGCAGAAAUGAAAUUCCAAAUCUAUUUACAGUUUACUUAUUGUGCAUCAUUUUUUCCUACUUUAUUGAGAUAUAAUUGAUGUCUAACAAUGUGUAACUUUAAGGUGUACAGUGUGUUGACUUGAUAUACUUACAUGUUGCAAUAUGACCACCAGCACGCAAUAACUACUGGAGUGCUAGCCAACACCUCCAUCACCUCACAUAGUUACCAUUUCUUUUUGUGGUGAGAACAUUUAAGAUCUAAUCUCUUAGCAACUUUCGAGUACACAGUACAGUAAUCUGUGCUAUAAAAGAUGACAGUUCUGGCAGAAAUGAAAUUCCAAAUCUAUUCACACUAUACUGAUGGUCCCUCAUUUUUCCCAGCCUUAUUGAGAUAUAAUUGACAGAAGUGGGGUUGCUGGAUCAUAUGAUAGCCCUAUUUUUAGUUUUUUGAGGAAACUCUAUAUUAUUUUCCACAAUGUGUGUACCAAUUUACAUUCCCACCAAAGGUGCACAAGGCUGCUCCUUUCUCCACAUCGUCACCAACACUUAUUUCGCGUCUUUUUGAUGACAGCCGUUCUAACAGGUGUGAGGUGAUGUCUCAUUGUGGAUUUGAUUUGCAUUUCCCUGAUGAUUAGUGAUGUUGAGCACCUUUUCACGUAGCUGUUGGCCACUCGUAUGUCUUCUCUGUAAAAUGUCUAUUCAGUUCCUCUGCCAAUAUUUUAAUUGGAUUUUUCUGUUGUUUUUAUUGAGUUGUAUGAGUUCUUUAUAUAUUUUUGAUAUUAGUCCCUUAUCAGAUAUAUGGUUCAGAGCACCUAAAUAUAUUAAGCAGAUACUAACAGGUUUGAAGGGAGAAAUAGACAACAAUAUGAUAUUGGUAGCAGACUUCAGUACCCUGCUUUCAGCAAUGGUUAGAUCAUUCAGACAGAAAUCAGCAAGGAAACCUUGGGCUUGAACCAUGUUUUAGGCCAAAUGGACCUAACAGACAUAUAUAGAACAUGCCAGCCAAUAGCAGCAGAGGGCACAUCCACAUGGGGCCAGAAGUGCUUCUUUCCCCACCCCCUCAGGGGAGACGGGCUGGCUGGAAGGGUCUGCAGUUGGGUAUUUCCCUCCCCCCAGGUAGGUUGGGCUCUGAGACAACGGAGCAGAUUAGGCUCCAGUGAAACAGUUUCUCCUGAGGGCUGGCUUUGUCAGGAACAGAAUAAUCUGGUACAUUUCAAAACAACUCCUUUUCCCCUCCCCCUGCUGGAAGAACAGGGGGUUUUUCUGUGAUAUUCACUCUGAGAACCUGGUAGAGCUCCUGGGGGUAAAACUCACAAAAGUGUGGGGCCCCCUAGGACUGGGCACCCGGGAGUUGUUGUCUCUCGGGCUUGUCCACACUGAGCCUCCAGCAAUUCGCCGAUUAUAGUUCGGUUUUGCUACCCUGCUUCUGGUUCCUGUGGAGGCUUCUGCUCUGGUGUGUUGUGAUUCUCUGUGUCUGCUUUUCUGUCUCCACAAUUUUGGGGGCAGCAGUUUGCCCUUUGACCUCACUUAACUGUUGGAUCUAAGAAGAGCUCUUGAUUUUUUUCAGUUUGUUCAGGAUUUACUCUUUGCCGGGAUGGAGCGAGGGCUUCGAAGCUCCUAACAUGCUGCUCCAGAAACUGGCAGUUCCCUGCUGAAAUGUUUUGAAUAGAUAGCCAUGUCUGGAUGUGAUGCCUGGAACUUCUGCAGCCAUUUUACCAGCUUGAGGAUGAAGCACAUACAUGAAGGAAGACAGAACAAGAGAGCUAUGGAGAGGCAGGACUGGGGAUAUAUGAUAUGAGGAUCCUGCCUUAUUCCUGGACCUCAUGUUUUGUUAGAUAAAAAAUUUUCUUAUUGUUAGAUUCAGAGUUUCUGUUAAUUGAGGCCAAAAGUAUCGUCACUGUAUAUCAUUCUUCAUCAAACAGUUCAAAAGUCACUUCCUCAGGGGAGCCUUCCUUGAGCCCCAUUGCCCACAGAUUAGACCCGUCCUCUUCUUCGAUGCUCUUGCAGCCUCCUGGACUUUCCCUCUAUGGCCCUUACCACAAUUCAUAAUAAUUUAUUUCUGUGAUUAUCUGAUCAAUGCCUGAUAUUCCCACCAGCUCUGUGAGGGCCCUUGUCUGUCUUGCUCCGCUGUAUUCCUAGAGCACUGACUGUGUCUGGCACACCGUGGGUGCUCAUGAAUAUUGCUAGAAUGGGUAGAUUAACACAUAAACCUGUAUGGACGGCUCCAUGGGAGAGAGAGGAGAGGCUGCUCCAGCCUGACUGGGAGAAUCAGGGGCGGUUUCACGUUGAGGGGAAACUUAAGCAGAAAUUGUGCAAGAGGAAGAGGAGGAGUUUUCUAGGCAUAAAAGGUGGUAGGGAAGAGUAUUCAAGACAGCCAGAAGGACGGGUGCAGAGACCCAGGGGUGCUCCGGACCGUGGAGUCCAACCAGAUCACGUUCUCAUUACGAGAACUUUCGGUUCAAAUCUAUUCUCAAAAUGAUAUUGAACAUAAAGAGGUAUUUU
RNAcentral lists this long non-coding RNA (6065 nucleotides) under Equus caballus (horse). Its description in RNAcentral is "lncRNA (ENSECAG00000056171.1)". The record is from RNAcentral. Lineage: Eukaryota; Metazoa; Chordata; Mammalia; Perissodactyla; Equidae.